UACGUAGGUGGCAAGCGUUGUCCGGAUUUACUGGGCGUAAAGGGCGUGCAGGCGGUCUGUUAAGUCUAGGGUGAAAGCUCCCGGCUCAACUGGGAGAGGUCCUUGGAUACUGGCAGACUUGAGGAGAGUAGAGGAGAGUGGAAUUCCCGGUGUAGUGGUGAUAUGCGUAGAUAUCGGGAGGAACACCAGUGGCGAAGGCGGCUCUCUGGGCUCUACCUGACGCUGAGGUGCGAAAGCGUGGGGAGCAAACAGG
This 253-nucleotide ribosomal RNA is filed under the name uncultured bacterium. Its description in RNAcentral is "partial 16S ribosomal RNA". It matches the Rfam family "Bacterial small subunit ribosomal RNA", at positions 524 to 776 of the family's 1533-position model. The record is from RNAcentral.